Molecule: ribosomal RNA, 975 nt
Filed under: Marphysa sanguinea
Lineage: Eukaryota; Metazoa; Annelida; Polychaeta; Eunicida; Eunicidae
Description: partial 16S ribosomal RNA
Rfam family: Bacterial large subunit ribosomal RNA
Source: RNAcentral
AAUGUCAAUUCUCCUCCCCGAAACUCAGUGAGCUGAUCUUUACUUGCUUAGAGCCCAGUAUAUAAUGUAACAAUAUUAUUAUAAAAGUAAAUAUCAGAGGCUACAUACCUACCGCACUGAAAUAUAGCUGGUUUUUCAGUCUCCAGUCUAAUCUGCUCAAGCUACUAUUCUUCUCCCCCUCUAUAGCUAUGAAAAAAAAUUAAGGACAAGCUUAAUUUUUUACUUUAUUUAACAAAAAUUAACUCAACUAAGUAGGCUUAAAAUCAGCCACCAUAAAUUACGUUAUAGUAACCAAAUCAAAAUCACACACAAAUAUCCUCCUUUCUGAAACAAUCUAUGAAAUGAAAAAUAAAUUAAACUAUGCAAAGAUCAAUAUUCUGCCUCCAUAAUCUAAAACCACCCUCAUAUAUACAUAUAAAUAAGGAACUCGGCAACCCUUUAUUCCGACUGUUUAACAAAAACAUUGCCUGUAGCAAUUUUCUAUUACAGGUACACCCUGCCCAGUGUUAUUAUCAACGGCCGCGGUACCCUGACCGUGCAAAGGUAGCAUAAUAAUUUGCCUUUUAAUUGAAGGCUAGUAUGAAAGGGCAAACGAGAAUAAAGCUGUCUCAUUUCUAUCCAUAAAAAUUUAUCUUCAGGUGAAGAAGCCUGAAUUUCUAUAAAAGACAAGAAGACCCCGUCGAGCUUUAGCUUAAUAUAUACUCUUUAAUCACCUAACCCUAUCCUCUUCCAUAUAUAAGCUUUUGUUGGGGCGACAACGGAAUAUAUUAAUCUUCCGACUUACACCAGACCCUAUGUCAUCUAAAAGAUCCUCUACUGAUACUAAGAACUAGCUACCGCAGGGAUAACAGACUAAUCUUCCUCCAGAGCCCAAAUCUACAGGAAGGCUUGGCACCUCGAUGUUGGCUUAGGAAAAUCCCCUAGAUGAAGCAGUCUAGGAAGUGGGUUUGUUCAACCCUUAAUAUCCUACAUGAG